GGAUGUUUUUCAGGAGAGUGUUGCAAAAGCAAUCACCGAAGGCGUAAUGUUGUAAAUCUUAAAUUUAUUUUUUAGGAUUUAAAACCCCCUAUAAUCGCUCAGGUAACAAGGACUGAAAGACUUAA
RNAcentral lists this non-coding RNA (125 nucleotides) under Moraxella nonliquefaciens. Its description in RNAcentral is "Glycine sequence". It matches the Rfam family "Glycine riboswitch aptamer". Rfam says of the family: This family represents the bacterial glycine riboswitch. Lineage: Bacteria; Pseudomonadati; Pseudomonadota; Gammaproteobacteria; Moraxellales; Moraxellaceae. The record is from Rfam by way of RNAcentral.